CGGGGUGUAGCACAGUUGGUAGUGCGCUGGGCUGGGGGUCCAGAGGUCCGCGGUUCGAGUCCGCGCACCCCGACCA
This 76-nucleotide transfer RNA is filed under the name bacterium ADurb.Bin400. RNAcentral describes it as "tRNA-Pro". It matches the Rfam family "tRNA". Rfam says of the family: Transfer RNA (tRNA) molecules are approximately 80 nucleotides in length. The record is from RNAcentral.